RNAcentral lists this ribosomal RNA (301 nucleotides) under uncultured bacterium. RNAcentral's name for it is "partial 16S ribosomal RNA". It matches the Rfam family "Bacterial small subunit ribosomal RNA", at positions 510 to 808 of the family's 1533-position model. The record is from RNAcentral.
CGCAGCCGCGGGAAUACGUAGGUGGCAAGCGUUGUCCGGAUUUAUUGGGCGUAAAGCGAGCGCAGGCGGUUCCUUAAGUCUGAUGUGAAAGCCCACGGCUCAACCGUGGAAGGUCAUUGGAAACUGGGGAACUUGAGUGCAGAAGAGGAGAGUGGAAUUCCAUGUGUAGCGGUGAAAUGCGUAGAUAUAUGGAGGAACACCAGUGGCGAAGGCGACUCUCUGGUCUGUAACUGACGCUGAGGCUCGAAAGCGUGGGGAGCAAACAGGAUUAGAUACCCGCGUAGUCCCUGUCUCUUAUACA